This is a long non-coding RNA of Oxyura jamaicensis (ruddy duck), 1170 nucleotides long. RefSeq lists it as uncharacterized. Lineage: Eukaryota; Metazoa; Chordata; Aves; Anseriformes; Anatidae. The record is from RefSeq and is a predicted model, not a curated record. The transcript has 3 exons.
CUCUCACUUCAGAAAAAAAUUGUAGAAAUUGACAGGUUAUUGCGAAAAAGUUCUGAUUUGGGUCCAGCUGUGGUUUUGGAAGGCUGGCCUCCAUCAAUAACGUUUUUGACCGACUGCUUUUGAUCUGCGUCCCUCCGGCUCCGCUCAGCCCUCAGAAACGGAGGGAGGGCACCGGCCUGGAGAGGACGCGGGGUUGAACGAAGGUUGUAUCCCAUUCCCCGAGGCUCUGCCUGAUCUUGGUGUCAGAAGGAGCGUUCUCAGGACAGUGUGACAAUCGUCACUUGUCCUGUCAUGGGUCAGGGGGUGCAGAUGUUACAGAAGCCAAAAGCAGAGAGCUCAUUGUGCCUCGAGAGCACUCACUUGAUGGAUCACUCAUCCUGGAUGAGUUCAUAACUGCAGGAAACAGGUGCCUGAGUACAGCCCUGUCGGCACCCAUGGAGGGAGGUGGUCCUGGCUGCAGGCAGGGACCAAUCCUGCUUGGCACAUGGAGCCUCCAGGACGUGGUGCCCCUAAUGCAGAACUGCUCCGUGGGUCUUUGGGGGGCUUUCAGCCAGGAUUUUGGACCAUGGGUGAGCCCAUCCCAUGCUGCUGGGCAUCAGAAGGCUGCUUGAAGUCAGGACGCACAGGUCCCGGUAGUAGGUCUGCAGAUUCCUUUAUAAAUCUGCCCUGCAUCUCGUAAGCAGCCGUGGCAACAUUGCUUCCCUCCCCCCCCCACCCUGGCCUCACUGUUCCAGGUGUUUUCUUCUGCCUUUGUCUCCUACGGCAGUGCACAGAGGACAGGCCCCUUCCAGGUCUGGGGGUCUGUGCGCCAAGCCCGCUCCCAGCAGCGCACUAAAUCCUGCCCCUCCACGUAAUUUAAAUCGCAGCAGCGCUUGCGCCUCGAGGAAGGUGGGGGAGGCAGCUGGAUCUGAGCAUCGCCUGGUUAAUGAACGUGCUGCGAUGCCUCUUCCUUCCUCUAUAUACAGCUGGAGGGACAAAUGUCAGGGGCAGAAGGGUUUUGGUCACCUGAGGGUACCGAUGCCGCUGACACGGUGCUGAGCUUGCAGCAGUCCUGGGGCAGUGUGGUGCUGAGCUGCCAGCACCUCCCAUCUCCAGCAAGGCAAAGAGAAAACCCAAGGAACAUUCCCCAGAUAUUUUUUAUCUAGUGGGAAGGAUGGCUCUUGGGGCAUC